GUUUUUACACAGUACCCUGAAUGUGCCUGAUCUCGGCUGAUGUCAAAAGCUAAGCAGGGCCGGGCCUGGUUAGUAUUUUGAUGGAGAGAGACCACCUAGAAAUACCAGGUGCUGUAGGCA
RNAcentral lists this ribosomal RNA (120 nucleotides) under Pteropus alecto (black flying fox). Lineage: Eukaryota; Metazoa; Chordata; Mammalia; Chiroptera; Pteropodidae. The record is from RNAcentral.